ACGAGUUUACAAGUCGGUCGACCGUGCUGGCGGAGACGCAUGUGCACGUCGGUCGCAAAUCUCAUCCACACACCUGUGAACGUAUGGCCUCUGGGUACUCGCUGCCUGGGGGCAAACCUUUUUUCACCCACUCUGUUUGUAAAGGAAUGUCAUGUGUGCGAAAUGCGCAAAAUGAAA
Molecule: unclassified non-coding RNA, 177 nt
Filed under: uncultured Basidiomycota
Lineage: Eukaryota; Fungi; Basidiomycota
Description: sequence contains ITS1
Source: RNAcentral